UAGGGAAUCUUCCACAAUGGACGAAAGUCUGAUGGAGCAACGCCGCGUGAGUGAAGAAGGGUUUCGGCUCGUAAACUCUGUUGUUAAAGAAGAACAUAUCUGAGAGUAACUGUUCAGGUACUGACGGUAUUUAACCAGAAAGCCACGGCUAACUACGUGCCAG
Molecule: ribosomal RNA, 163 nt
Filed under: uncultured bacterium
Lineage: Bacteria
Description: partial 16S rRNA
Rfam family: Bacterial small subunit ribosomal RNA
Source: RNAcentral